This is a long non-coding RNA of Helianthus annuus (common sunflower), 949 nucleotides long. RefSeq lists it as uncharacterized. The record is from RefSeq and is a predicted model, not a curated record. The transcript is spliced from 2 exons. NCBI's taxonomy places the organism in Eukaryota, Viridiplantae, Streptophyta, Magnoliopsida, Asterales, Asteraceae.
CCGGUGAAUGGAGCGGCGGAGUUGAUAGAUCGACGGAGAACGGAGAUAUCUGCAGUCACCGGAAAAGGCGUGAUAUGAUUGCAGAGAUUUAUGGCCAAACGUGAGAAAGCCAAAUAUGUGAAGUUGAAGCCCAGCAAGAGAAUGUGCGUUUGUGAUACUCAACGAAUUUAUAUACCCUUAAAAUGAAAGGUCGAUGAUGUUAUGUACCGAAGCCCAAGUCACCCUCCGAGUCCAUUACCGAGUCCAAAAGAUGCAUUUUAAGUGAAGCCCAUGCAUAUGUGCAUGAGUAAAGCACGUGUAGUCCAUCCACUUUAUUUUGAAUGUUCAAGUUGUUAGUCAUGUGUUAAAAUAAAGGAAAAUAAAGGAAUGCCCAUGUUUCCAUAUUGUUAAGAGUAGUUGGUAACUAAUUUGUGAGUAGUGGGUACAUCUUAUUAGGGUUAGUGGCAUGAGUGUUAACUAUAUAUAUAGUCAUGUACCUUUCCAUUUUGGAUUAUGAAUGAAAGUUUUCAAAGUCUAAUUAUCUCUCUAUUUUCUCGUCUGGCUUCUAUCUAUUUUCUUUGGUGAAUUAACCAAGAAUCAUAACAGUGGUAUUAGAGCGGUCUUGAUCCACUCCUAUGAACGCUCGUGAAUGGAAGGCUUCAAUGGAUCAGAUUGAGUGGCGGCCUCCAUGGAUUUUCUCCCUUAUUGUGUCCAGAUUCUUAACCUUGUGGAUAAGGUUGCUUGAAGUCGGAGGGAAUGAUGUGUGCCAUGAAACCCACGAAGUGGUCCAUCACGCAUUUACAUUAUUUUAGUUUAAUUAUAUCUACAUGUAUUUCUUUUAUUUGUUAGUUUAGUAGUAGAUAAUGGGUUAGUGGAUGGUUAGAUUAUUUACUAGUUUCAUCAACUUAUGUACAACCUAUAUAAUGGCUUUAGGUGUUUUGUGAUUAUUAUGAAUGAAAAAUAUUAAAAA